UGUAAGCGUAUACCAAAGUUGUUGCAGUUAAAACGCUCGUAGUCGGAAUUUGGAAGUUCCGGAAGUGUGCACGUCGUGUGCGCACUUUGCGGGGACUGCUUUUGUGGUCUUGCGUAGGAUGAGGCACUUUCAUUAGUGAACGUCCUCACGCAACCACUCUUUACUGUGAGAAAAUCAGAGUGCUCAAAGCAGGCAUUUGCCGUGAAUGUAUUAGCAUGGAAUAAUAGAAUAGGACUCGGUUCUAUUUUGUUGGUUUGUUGGGACUGAGUAAUGAUUAAGAGGGACAGUUGGGGGCAUUUGUAUUCCGGCGCUAGAGGUGAAAUUCUUAGAUUGCCGGAAGACAAACUGCUGCGAAAGCGUCUGCCAAGGAUGUUUUCAUUGA
RNAcentral lists this ribosomal RNA (382 nucleotides) under uncultured eukaryote. Its description in RNAcentral is "partial 18S ribosomal RNA". It matches the Rfam family "Eukaryotic small subunit ribosomal RNA", at positions 592 to 976 of the family's 1831-position model. The record is from RNAcentral.